UACGUAGGGGGCAAGCGUUGUCCGGAUUUAUUGGGCGUAAAGAGCGUGUAGGCGGCUAUACAGGUCCGUUGUGAAAACUCGAGGCUCAACCUCGAGACGUCGAUGGAAACCGUAUGGCUAGAGUCCGGAAGAGGAGAGUGGAAUUCCUGGUGUAGCGGUGAAAUGCGCAGAUAUCAGGAGGAACACCGAUGGCGAAGGCAGGUCUCUGGGCAGUAACUGACGCUGAGGAGCGAAAGCGUGGGGAGCGAACAGG
Molecule: ribosomal RNA, 253 nt
Filed under: uncultured bacterium
Lineage: Bacteria
Description: partial 16S ribosomal RNA
Rfam family: Bacterial small subunit ribosomal RNA
Source: RNAcentral